GAUGAACGCGGCGGCGUGCCUAAUACAUGCAAGUCGAGCGAGAAGCUUGGAAAUGACGCUUCGGUUGAUUUUCCAAGCGGACAGCGGCGGACGGGUGAGUAACGCGUAGGCAACCUGCCCCUGACAGAGGGAUAGCCAUUGGAAACGAUGAUUAAAACCUCAUGACACCGUAGUAGCACAUGCUACAUCGGUCAAAGAUUUAUCGGUCAGGGAUGGGCCUGCGUCUGAUUAACUGGUUGGUGAGGUAACGGCUCACCAAGGUGACGAUCAGUAGCCGACCUGAGAGGGUGAUCGGCCACAUUGGAACUGAGACACGGUCCAAACUUCUACGGAAGGCAGCAGUAGGGAAUCUUGCACAAUGGGCGAAAGCCCUGAUGCAGCAAACGCCGCGUGAAGGAUGAAGGCCUUUCGGGUUGUAAAAUUU
RNAcentral lists this ribosomal RNA (424 nucleotides) under Mogibacterium timidum. RNAcentral describes it as "bacterial SSU rRNA". It matches the Rfam family "Bacterial small subunit ribosomal RNA", at positions 28 to 433 of the family's 1533-position model. The record is from RNAcentral. Lineage: Bacteria; Bacillati; Bacillota; Clostridia; Peptostreptococcales; Anaerovoracaceae.